RNAcentral lists this ribosomal RNA (253 nucleotides) under uncultured bacterium. RNAcentral's name for it is "partial 16S ribosomal RNA". It matches the Rfam family "Bacterial small subunit ribosomal RNA", at positions 524 to 776 of the family's 1533-position model. The record is from RNAcentral.
UACGGGGGGGGCAAGCGUUGUUCGGAAUUACUGGGCGUAAAGGGCUCGUAGGCGGCCAACUAAGUCAGACGUGAAAUCCCUCGGCUUAACCGGGGAACUGCGUCUGAUACUGGAUGGCUUGAGGUUGGGAGAGGGAUGCGGAAUUCCAGGUGUAGCGGUGAAAUGCGUAGAUAUCAAGUGGAACACCAGUGGCGAAGGCGAGUCUCUGGACAUUUCCUGACGCUGAGGCACGAAAGCCAGGGGAGCAAACGGG